This 252-nucleotide unclassified non-coding RNA is filed under the name uncultured fungus. RNAcentral describes it as "partial contains 5.8S ribosomal RNA, internal transcribed spacer 2, and large subunit ribosomal RNA". The stretch from base 1 to 52 matches the Rfam family "5.8S ribosomal RNA", at positions 103 to 154 of the family's 154-position model. The record is from RNAcentral. Lineage: Eukaryota; Fungi.
AACGCACAUUGCGCCCUCUGGUAUUCCGGAGGGCAUGCCUGUUCGAGCGUCAUUUCAACCCUCAAGCCUGGCUUGGUGAUGGGGCACUGCCUUCUAGCGAGGGCAGGCCCUGAAAUCUAGUGGCGAGCUCGCUAGGACCCCGAGCGUAGUAGUUAUAUCUCGUUCUGGAAGGCCCUGGCGGUGCCCUGCCGUUAAACCCCCAACUUCUGAAAAUUUGACCUCGGAUCAGGUAGGAAUACCCGCUGAACUUAA